UAACGCGAAGAACCUUACCAAGGCUUGACAUACACCGGAAACGACCAGAGAUGGUCGCCCCCUUGUGGUCGGUGUACAGGUGGUGCAUGGUUGUCGUCAGCUCGUGUCGUGAGAUGUUGGGUUAAGUCCCGCAACGAGCGCAACCCUCGUUCUAUGUUGCCAGCGCGUUAUGGCGGGGACUCAUAGGAGACUGCCGGGGUCAACUCGGAGGAAGGUGGGGAUGACGUCAAAUCAUCAUGCCCCUUAUGUCUUGGGCUUCACGCAUGCUACAAUGGCCGGUACAAAGGGCUGCGAUACCGUAAGGUGGAGCGAAUCCCAAAAAGCCGGUCUCAGUUCGGAUUGAGGUCUGCAACUCGACCUCAUGAAGUCGGAGUCGCUAGUAAUCGCAGAUCAGCA
RNAcentral lists this ribosomal RNA (396 nucleotides) under uncultured bacterium. RNAcentral's name for it is "bacterial SSU rRNA". It matches the Rfam family "Bacterial small subunit ribosomal RNA", at positions 957 to 1354 of the family's 1533-position model. The record is from RNAcentral.